UUAAGUUUCAAGUUGAUUGGACUUCAGCUUCAUCAAAAACUACCUUGACCAAAAACUUUAAUCUGAAACUCCCCCUUUCAUUUUCUAUGUUCAGUGGACCGUGAAAUUGGGGUCAAAAGUCUAAUUUGGCUUUAAAAUUAAAAAGAUCAUAUCAUAAGCAACAAGUGUACUAAGUUUCAAGUUGAUUGGACUUCAGCUUCAUCAAAAACUACCUUGACCAAAAACUUUAACCUGAAACUCCCACUUUCAUUUUCUAUGUUCAAUGGACCGUAAAAUUGGGGUCAAAAGUCUAAUUUGGCUUUAAGAUUAGAAAGAUCA
RNAcentral lists this long non-coding RNA (318 nucleotides) under Mytilus galloprovincialis (Mediterranean mussel). The record is from RNAcentral. Lineage: Eukaryota; Metazoa; Mollusca; Bivalvia; Mytilida; Mytilidae.